ACGUGGAAGCACCGGUUCCCGUACGAUCACCGAAGUUAAGCAACGUCGAGCCUGGUUAGUACCAAGAUAGUUGACCAUUUAGGAAUAC
This is a non-coding RNA of Acanthosepion pharaonis, 88 nucleotides long. NCBI's taxonomy places the organism in Eukaryota, Metazoa, Mollusca, Cephalopoda, Sepiida, Sepiidae. The record is from the annotation of a GenBank genome assembly.